UUCAGCCAUGAUUCAAGAUUCUAAAACCUUGUGUUGCUGAUGUUUCAAUCAAGAAUUACCAAUCAGCUGGAACAGCAGUAAAAGGAUGUUACUUACCACACCUGUGAUGCAGUUAGCCUAGUGAAGAAGCCCCACAUCAGAAUAUCCCAGAGUUCCAUGUUUAGAACAACUCCUGAGAAGUGAGAGAUCCCUUGUUCAACUCUUUUCUACCUCUCUGACAGGUUGAUACGUCACUGCUGGAGCACUGUGCAACUACCAAAUUCUGUAACACAACCAAGGAAACAUUGCAAGGUUGUUCUUUUCCCCUUUGGUGAAGCCUCAUAGGAUGGAAAAUGCUGUUUUCAGUGGGAGUUUGCCUGAGUCAGAAAAAAACAAAAAACGGAGCAAGGACUUCAGGAUUUGACUCUGCACUCCUCAGAAUUAGUACCUGGUUGAAUUAACUUGAUAUUAUUAAUUAUUAUUUUUAUUAGAUUACAGAACACCUGUUAAGCAAACACUCACAUCAAGAAAACAGGUAGCAUUGUAAUAAUUGAGUGCCAUAAUUAUAUACAUGAGACUUUAAUUACGUUCACUUAGUUACUUGUUGACUUGUCAAAGCAGUUUGCUUAAUUUUACUGGGGACAUAGAGGUUUCCCCCCUGCCCUUGCCUCCACUCUGACCCUUUACA
This is a long non-coding RNA of Mauremys reevesii (Reeves's turtle), 667 nucleotides long. RefSeq lists it as uncharacterized. The transcript has 4 exons. Lineage: Eukaryota; Metazoa; Chordata; Testudines; Geoemydidae. The record is from RefSeq and is a predicted model, not a curated record.